UUCGGAUUGCAGGCUGCAACCCGCCUGCAUGAAGUCGGAAUCGCUAGUAAUCGCGAGUCAGCAUAUCGCGGUGAAUACGUUCCCGGGUCUUGUACACACCGCCCGUCACACCAUGGGAGUUGGCAACACCCGAAGUCGAUGAGCUAACCUUUUAGGAGGCAGUCGCCUAAGGUGGGGUUGAUAACUGGGGUGAAGUCGUAACAAGGUACC
RNAcentral lists this ribosomal RNA (210 nucleotides) under uncultured bacterium. RNAcentral describes it as "partial 16S ribosomal RNA". It matches the Rfam family "Bacterial small subunit ribosomal RNA", at positions 1292 to 1500 of the family's 1533-position model. The record is from RNAcentral.